Molecule: long non-coding RNA, 427 nt
Organism: Loxodonta africana (African savanna elephant)
Lineage: Eukaryota; Metazoa; Chordata; Mammalia; Proboscidea; Elephantidae
Exons: 3
Source: RefSeq, a predicted model, not a curated record
ACAGUGGAAGAGCCGGUUCAUCUCAAGCACGCUGGGAUCCUUCUCUCCCUUCGCCCAGCAGUGGUGACAUUUCACACACCUGGGGCAGGAGCUGGGAGGUGGCAGAGAGGUGGUCUUGGUGAGAAAGGAGGACUGAAGGACGUGUGGUGUGAGUCCGGGUUACGGUAAGAGACUAAAAACUGCAAAGGAUAAAAAGCUAUCGUCUCAAAGCACUUCACAUCCCUUAGAGCUGUGUCUCAAGAACGUAAGAGAACCUAUCACAUGAAAGGUGGCCCUGAUGGAGUUGUGGUGAAAAGCCUGGCUGCUAACCAAAAGGUUGGCAGUUUGAAUCCACCAGCUGCUCCUUGGAAACCCUAUGGGGCAGUUCUACUCAGAAUGGACUCAAUGGCAAUGGGUUUUAUUAUGUGAAAGAACUCAAUAAAACUAA